UACGUAGGGGGCAAGCGUUGUCCGGAUUUAUUGGGCGUAAAGAGCGUGUAGGCGGCUUGGUAGGUCCGCUGUGAAAACUCGAGGCUCAACCUCGAGAUGUCGGCGGAAACCACUUGGCUAGAGUCCGGAAGAGGAGAGUGGAAUUCCUGGUGUAGCGGUGAAAUGCGCAGAUAUCAGGAAGAACACCUAUGGCGAAGGCAGCUCUCUGGGACGUUACUGACGCUGAGACGCGAAAGCGUGGGGAGCAAACAGG
RNAcentral lists this ribosomal RNA (253 nucleotides) under uncultured bacterium. RNAcentral describes it as "partial 16S ribosomal RNA". It matches the Rfam family "Bacterial small subunit ribosomal RNA", at positions 524 to 776 of the family's 1533-position model. The record is from RNAcentral.